AUGAACGCUGGCGGCGUGGAUAAGGCAUGCAAGUCGGACGAUUUCCUUUUUUUGAAGAAGAUGCGAUUACAUCAAGUCAACUGAUAUUUUGGAGAUAGUGGCGAACGAGCUAGUAACACCUUGGUACGUACCCAAAAGUUUGGUAUAGCUCGCCGAAAGGCGGGGUAAUCCCAAAUAAUCCCUCUAUCUAUCGGAUAGAAGGGUAAAGUCGCAAGACGCUUUUGGAGCGGCCUAGGACCGAUCAGUUAGUUGGUGAGGUAAUGGCUCACCAAGACGAUGACCGGUAGG
RNAcentral lists this ribosomal RNA (288 nucleotides) under uncultured bacterium. Its description in RNAcentral is "partial 16S ribosomal RNA". It matches the Rfam family "Bacterial small subunit ribosomal RNA", at positions 29 to 287 of the family's 1533-position model. The record is from RNAcentral.